This 563-nucleotide ribosomal RNA is filed under the name uncultured Glomeromycotina. Its description in RNAcentral is "SSU rRNA". It matches the Rfam family "Eukaryotic small subunit ribosomal RNA", at positions 549 to 1114 of the family's 1831-position model. The record is from RNAcentral. Lineage: Eukaryota; Fungi; Glomeromycota.
UGGAGGGCAAGUCUGGUGCCAGCAGCCGCGGUAAUUCCAGCUCCAAUAGCGUAUAUUAAAGUUGUUGCAGUUAAAAAGCUCGUAGUUGAAUUUCGGGAUCAAUCUAUCGGUCGUGCAAUAGUACGUACUGAUUUUAUUGAUUCCUCCCUUCUGAUGAACUAUGAUGUCAUUAAUUUGGUGUCAUAGGGAAUCAGGACUGUUACUUUGAAAAAAUUAGAGUGUUUAAAGCAGGCUCACGCUUGAAUACAUUAGCAUGGAAUAACGAAAUAGGACGUUUGAUUCUAUUUUGUUGGUUUCUAGGAUCGACGUAAUGAUUAAUAGGGAUAGUUGGGGGCAUUAGUAUUCAAUUGUCAGAGGUGAAAUUCUUGGAUUUAUUGAAGACUAACUACUGCGAAAGCAUUUGCCAAGGAUGUUUUCAUUAAUCAAGAACGAAAGUUAGAGGAUCGAAGACGAUCAGAUACCGUCGUAGUCUUAACCAUAAACUAUGCCGACUAGGGGUCGGAUGAUGUUAAUUUUUUAAUGACUCAUUCGGCGCCUUACGGGAAACCAAAGUGUUUGGGUUC